UUUUUUUGUUUUAAAUUUCUUUACAUACUUUGACUAAUGUUUAAAAUGAAGCCGCAAAGUAAUCGUUUCCAAUUACUUCGCCAUCAAGUGCACAGUGUUAGAAGUGGAGGUCAGGCUCUACAAGUAGACGCCCUAUAAUUCACUAAUGAUCCUUCCGCAGGUUCACCUACGGAAA
This 175-nucleotide unclassified non-coding RNA is filed under the name uncultured fungus. RNAcentral describes it as "sequence contains ITS1". The record is from RNAcentral. Lineage: Eukaryota; Fungi.